CCUACGGGAGGCUGCAGUGGGGAAUAUUGCACAAUGGGCGAAACCCUGAUGCAGCGACGCCGCGUGCGUGAAGAAGGAUUUCGUUAUGUAAAGCUCUAUUAGCAGGGAAGAAAAUGACGGUACCUGAGUAAGAAUCACCGGCUAACUACGUUCCAGCAGCCGCGGUAAUACGUAGGGGGCAAGCGUUAUCCGGAUUUACUGGGUGUAAAGGGAGCGUAGGCGGUAGUGUAAGUCUGGAGUGAAAGGCGGAGGCUCAACCUCCGGACUGCUAUGGAAACUGUAAGGCUGGAGUGCAGGAGAGGUAAGUGGAAUUCCUAGUGUAGCGGUGAAAUGCGUAGAUAUUAGAAGGAACACCGAUGGCGAAGGCAGCUUACUAGGCUGUUUCUGACGUUGAGGCACGAAAGCGUGGGGAGCAAACAGGAUUAGAUACCCCAGUAGUC
RNAcentral lists this ribosomal RNA (440 nucleotides) under uncultured bacterium. RNAcentral describes it as "partial 16S ribosomal RNA". It matches the Rfam family "Bacterial small subunit ribosomal RNA", at positions 338 to 795 of the family's 1533-position model. The record is from RNAcentral.